GCCGGUGUUGCUCAGUGGUUAGAGCAUCAGCUCGCUGAAGGGUCUUGGGUUUGAUUCCCAGUCAAGGGCA
Molecule: transfer RNA, 70 nt
Filed under: Myotis davidii
Lineage: Eukaryota; Metazoa; Chordata; Mammalia; Chiroptera; Vespertilionidae
Rfam family: tRNA
About the family: Transfer RNA (tRNA) molecules are approximately 80 nucleotides in length. Their secondary structure includes four short double-helical elements and three loops (D, anti-codon, and T loops).
Source: Rfam by way of RNAcentral